AUACGUAGGUGACGAGCGUUAUCCGGAAUUAUUGGGUGUAAAGGGUGCGUAGGCGGGCUGUAAAGUCAGAUGUGAAAUACCGGGGCUUAACUCCGGAGCUGCAUUUGAAACUUACGGUCUUGAGUGAAGUAGAGGUAAGCGGAAUUCCCAGUGUAGCGGUGAAAUGCGUAGAUAUUGGGAGGAACACCAGUGGCGAAGGCGGCUUACUGGGCUUUUACUGACGCUGAGGCACGAAAGUGUGGGGAGCAAACAGGAUUAGAUACCCUGGUAGUCCACACCGUAAACGAUGAUUACUAGGUGUAGGGCGGCUGAAACCGUUCUGUGCCGGAGUUAACACAAUAAGUAAUCCACCUGGGGAGUACGGCCGCAAGGUUGAAACUCAAAUGAAUUGACGGGG
RNAcentral lists this ribosomal RNA (397 nucleotides) under uncultured bacterium. RNAcentral describes it as "partial 16S ribosomal RNA". It matches the Rfam family "Bacterial small subunit ribosomal RNA", at positions 523 to 918 of the family's 1533-position model. The record is from RNAcentral.